UACGGAGGGUGCGAGCGUUGUCCGGAAUCACUUGGCGUAAAGGGCGCGUAGGCGGCCUGAUAAGUAGGGGGUGAAAUCCUGCGGCUUAACCGCAGGGCUGCCUUCUAAACUGUCAGGCUGGAGCACAGUAGAGGCAGGUGGAAUUCCCGGUGUAGCGGUGGAAUGCGUAGAGAUGUGGAGGAAUACCGAUGGCGAAGGCAGCCCCCUGGGAUAACACUGACGCUCAUGCACGAAAGCGUGGGGAGCAAACAGG
This 253-nucleotide ribosomal RNA is filed under the name uncultured bacterium. Its description in RNAcentral is "partial 16S ribosomal RNA". It matches the Rfam family "Bacterial small subunit ribosomal RNA", at positions 524 to 776 of the family's 1533-position model. The record is from RNAcentral.